RNAcentral lists this long non-coding RNA (860 nucleotides) under Bemisia tabaci. Its description in RNAcentral is "lncRNA ENSSWEETPG013096". Lineage: Eukaryota; Metazoa; Arthropoda; Insecta; Hemiptera; Aleyrodidae. The record is from RNAcentral.
UGCAGUCUAACUAUAAGUUUCUAAACCCUUUCCAGCUUUUUAACGGCAACUAUCUCGAAUUUAAUUGGCCAAAACUUCAUGAAUUAUUGUAUCUGUUUCAGAUGGCGAGUUUCUGUUUGUUGACCCCGACUACAAACUAUCCAAGUAUGCACCGAAAAGUUGGAGGUCCUCUUCUACCCACGGAUUGGACAGCAAUGGAAAACCUCUUCUUACUUUCCAACUCCGAGUUCAGUUCUAUGUUGAAAGUCCUCUUUUACUCAGGGAUGAAUAUUCAAGACACCUCUAUUACCUUCAACUUCGGAAAAAUGUCAUUUCACGAGGCACACUCCAUGCAAGCGCCAGUGAGGAGAUCAUCUUUCUCCUCACUGGUCUUGCGCUCCAAGCAGAUUUCGGGGAUUUCAGUGAAAUUCAGCAUACUGGACAGUAUUUUCAACCCUCGGACUAUUUUCCACCCCAUAUGCUUAGCAAUGGGAGUGAACCGAGAUUAUUUCAAACUGCUACAAACUUACAUAGGCAUAAUUGUAGUUUAUCUAAGGAAAGCGCUGAGAACGAAUUCAUCCGUGAGGCAUCCUCAGCGAGUAACUGCCCUCUUACUCACAACUCCCACCUCUAACCACCUUAAACAGAAGAAAAAUGACCCCAACCCAGGGACUGUUUCGCUGGCCAUUUCUACCACUGGUAUCAAACUCUACGAGGAUAGCCCGACCAAACCUGUUAGCGGUAACUUUUUGUGGGGCAACAUCGGAAAGCUGGGUUUCGAUAGGAAAAAAUUCGAAAUUCGAGGUUCUAAUCCAGGGCCCUCGGCUGGUGAAAAAUUAGUGUAUUAUACUAGUAGCGAUGAAAGAGCAAACAUUUGUUAA